This 301-nucleotide ribosomal RNA is filed under the name uncultured bacterium. Its description in RNAcentral is "partial 16S ribosomal RNA". It matches the Rfam family "Bacterial small subunit ribosomal RNA", at positions 509 to 807 of the family's 1533-position model. The record is from RNAcentral.
CAGCCGCCGCGGGAAUACGAAGGGUGCAAGCGUUACUCGGAAUUACUGGGCGUAAAGCGUGCGUAGGUGGUGGUUUAAGUCCGUUGUGAAAGCCCUGGGCUCAACCUGGGAAUUGCAGUGGAUACUGGAUCACUAGAGUGUGGUAGAGGAUGGUGGAAUUCCCGGUGUAGCGGUGAAAUGCGUAGAGAUCGGGAGGAACAUCAGUGGCGAAGGCGGCCAUCUGGGACAACACUGACGCUGAUGCACGAAAGCUAGGGGAGCAAACAGGAUUAGAUACCCGUGUAGUCCCUGUCUCUUAUAC